Long non-coding RNA from Temnothorax curvispinosus, 952 nucleotides. RefSeq lists it as uncharacterized. The transcript has 3 exons. NCBI's taxonomy places the organism in Eukaryota, Metazoa, Arthropoda, Insecta, Hymenoptera, Formicidae. The record is from RefSeq and is a predicted model, not a curated record.
AACAACAACAGCGGAACACAAUGCUGCGGACACAUAUUUAUUUCCUCUCUUCCAAGAGUUACAUAAGUUUCACAGUCGUCUAUUUGUACAGGAUCUCGUCUUUUGGAGAAGCCGACAGUAGACAACCACUUGCUAGCAAGUGAAAGCAUUGUGGAUCGGUCCAAGCGUUUGUGCGACCUUGAGCCUCAAGGUUUCUCCUUCCUACACCGAUGGCCUGCAUUUUAUACAUUGCGCGUACAAUCGUGCGAAUGAGAAUGAAAUAAAUCUUAUAAAUAUCUGGAGAGUUAUCAGUAAUUAUAAGAAAAUGUAAAAUCUCCUCGACACGUCCAAUAGCAUGAGCCGACAAAUACGGCAACAGUUUCUUGCCGCCUUACGACUGACUGGAUUCUAUGGCUGUGAAAUGGAUUUCUGCCUCGUCAUCGUCAUACACUGGUUGCUCACACCGCCGGUUGUUGCGUAAUUGCUCGCAAUAAUGUAGCAGGGGCAACCAAUACAUACUGCCGGACUCCAAUAAUAUCUAUCGUCUCUUCUUGUGUUUCAACGACUCUGAGGAUAUGUGUGAAUAAAUGUGUUUACAUGACAAAUGUCACGAUAAGAUACUAAAAUUUGUCCACGAUAAGAUGUUAAAAUUUUUGAUAACAGCGCGCAAUAACGAUCGCUUUAGGCUUUCGUUUAGAUGAUCGUUAUCUAUCUCGCUACCCUAACACGCGUUUGAAAAGAGUAAUAAGUUUCGUGUAUCUUAAAACUUUUAUACUUCGCAUGACUAGAUGUGACGCUGUAAUUAAGAAAAUGAAGUGUAAUGAUGACAAGGCGAAGUAUAUAGUAGUGCCGUUGACUUUAUGUAAUUCGCGACUCGACGUUGCCAUAUUAUAUUCUUUCAACAUUUGCUGGAUGAAUAUUGAUCUUGUUAGCUUUUCAUCGUGAACACCAUCUACAAGCGUAUAAACUGUAA